Long non-coding RNA from Acyrthosiphon pisum (pea aphid), 311 nucleotides. RefSeq lists it as uncharacterized. The record is from RefSeq and is a predicted model, not a curated record. NCBI's taxonomy places the organism in Eukaryota, Metazoa, Arthropoda, Insecta, Hemiptera, Aphididae. The transcript is spliced from 3 exons.
ACACGCGACGUGCUACGUGUAAUAGCCGAAAUCGCACACGCGUACACGCGUCAACGGGCUUGAUGCAGCUUCUUGACGCAACCGUCGCACAAAUCUACGUUUAUAAUACAAUAAUAAUUGUUGAUCAUUAUUGUAGGUGCGCGUUACUGCGAUGACUGCAUAUUUUUAUCAGUUGUAUUUUCAAUUUCAUUUGGUUCAACACUCAAUGUAGUAUCAUCAGACUGCAAUGACCGCAUACUUGCACCAGUUGUAUUUUCAAUUUCAUUUGAUUGAACAUUCAAAGGAGGAUCAAGUAUCUAAAACAUUAAACU